AGAGAUUAAAUAUCCAGCACGCAACCGCACUGUUGCCAGAUUUACUUCUUUUCUUUUAGCGGGAAUUUUAAAAUAUCUAAUGUCAGUUGGUUUAAAAUUUGACAGUUGUAUUUUUUUGAUUCCGAAUCUUAACCUUACUUUACAGGUGAUUUGAUUAUGUACAAAAAAUGUACAGUGUAAAUAAAUUGAACCAAGUAAUGUACUAAAAUAUGCUAUGUUAUAAUUUAAAACUCGUUAUGUUAGUCUUUUGAAAAAAAUGAAACUCAAAAGAGAUAUACUUGUUUACAGUGCAAAUUAAUGGCAAUAAUAGGGAUUUACGAUUUAAUUUGCAGGAAAAACAUGGGCAACCUACCCAGUUAGUAAAAUUUCAAUUCAAAAACUCUUUAGAUUUUACUGUGCGGAUGUCACAGGAAGAGAAACAAAAUAAUAUUCAGUCACAGGAGUACAAGAACAUGAAACAUCUUAUUAUGUAUGUAUGCCAUUCUCAAACAAUUAUUGUACAAAACAAGAUAGAGAAGAGCUUUAAAAUCCCAAGGAUCCUGCGAAAAGAAAAGUGAAAAUGUUGUCUCAAUUAAUGUAGUAUAGAUGGACAUUUUUCUUUAUUUUAGUAUUAAAUAAUUAUUUAGAAUAUUAAUAGGUAUUAGUUUUAAUAGUAUUAAUAUGUAUUGUAUGAAUAAUUCCCAUCAUAUAUCUUCUGGCUAAAGUUACAAAAUAAAUAAAAAUGAAAAAACAUUUAA
Molecule: long non-coding RNA, 737 nt
Organism: Diabrotica virgifera virgifera (western corn rootworm)
Lineage: Eukaryota; Metazoa; Arthropoda; Insecta; Coleoptera; Chrysomelidae
Exons: 2
Source: RefSeq, a predicted model, not a curated record